UAGGGAAUCUUCCGCAAUGGGCGAAAGCUUGACGGAGCAACGCCGCGUGAGUGAUGAAGGUCUUCGGAUCGUAAAACUCUGUUAUUAGGGAAGAACAAAUGUGUAAGUAACUAUGCACGUCUUGACGGUACCUAAUCAGAAAGCCACGGCUAACUACGUGCCAGCAGCCGCGGUAAUACGUAGGUGGCAAGCGUUAUCCGGAAUUAUUGGGCGUAAAGCGCGCGUAGGCGGUUUUUUAAGUCUGAUAUGAAAGCCCACGGCUCAACCGUGGAGGGUCAUUGGAAACUGGAAAACUUGAGUGCAGAAGAGGAAAGUGGAAUUCCAUGUGUAGCGGUGAAAUGCGCAGAGAUAUGGAGGAACACCAGUGGCGAAGGCGACUUUCUGGUCUGUAACUGACGCUGAUGUGCGAAAGCGUGGGGAUCAAACAGG
This 429-nucleotide ribosomal RNA is filed under the name Actinomycetes bacterium. RNAcentral's name for it is "Actinobacteria bacterium partial 16S ribosomal RNA". It matches the Rfam family "Bacterial small subunit ribosomal RNA", at positions 355 to 776 of the family's 1533-position model. Lineage: Bacteria; Bacillati; Actinomycetota; Actinomycetes. The record is from RNAcentral.